Molecule: ribosomal RNA, 468 nt
Filed under: uncultured bacterium
Lineage: Bacteria
Description: partial 16S ribosomal RNA
Rfam family: Bacterial small subunit ribosomal RNA
Source: RNAcentral
GACGAACGCUGGCGGCGUGCUUAACACAUGCAAGUCGAACGGAAAGGCCCUGCUUUUGUGGGGUGCUCGAGUGGCGAACGGGUGAGUAACACGUGAGUAACCUGCCCUUGACUUUGGGAUAACUUCAGGAAACUGGGGCUAAUACCGGAUAGGAGCUCCUGCUGCAUGGUGGGGGUUGGAAAGUUUCGGCGGUUGGGGAUGGACUCGCGGCUUAUCAGCUUGUUGGUGGGGUAGUGGCUUACCAAGGCUUUGACGGGUAGCCGGCCUGAGAGGGUGACCGGCCACAUUGGGACUGAGAGACGGCCCAGACUCCUACGGGAGGCAGCAGUGGGGAAUAUUGCACAAUGGGCGGAAGCCUGAUGCAGCAACGCCGCGUGCGGGAUGACGGCCUUCGGGUUGUAAACCGCUUUCGCCUGUGACGAAGCGUGGGUGACGGUAAUGGGUAAAGAAGCACCGGCUAACUACGUG